RNAcentral lists this ribosomal RNA (462 nucleotides) under uncultured bacterium. Its description in RNAcentral is "partial 16S ribosomal RNA". It matches the Rfam family "Bacterial small subunit ribosomal RNA", at positions 28 to 507 of the family's 1533-position model. The record is from RNAcentral.
GACGAACGCUGGCGGCGUGCUUAACACAUGCAAGUCGAGCGGAAAGGCCCUUCGGGGUACUCGAGCGGCGAACGGGUGAGUAACACGUGAGUAACCUGCCCCAGACUUUGGGAUAACCCUCGGAAACGGGGGCUAAUACCGGAUACGACACGGCUUCGCAUGGGGUCUGUGUGGAAAGUUUUUCGGUUUGGGAUGGGCUCGCGGCCUAUCAGCUUGUUGGUGGGGUGAUGGCCUACCAAGGCGACGACGGGUAGCCGGCCUGAGAGGGCGACCGGCCACACUGGGACUGAGACACGGCCCAGACUCCUACGGGAGGCAGCAGUGGGGAAUAUUGCACAAUGGGCGGAAGCCUGAUGCAGCGACGCCGCGUGAGGGAUGACGGCCUUCGGGUUGUAAACCUCUUUCAGCAGGGACGAAGCGUAAGUGACGGUACCUGCAGAAGAAGCGCCGGCCAACUACGUG